CUUUACUGUAGCUUUGUAUUGGACUUUGAACAGAUCUGUGUAGGAUAGGUGGGAGGCUUUGAAGCAGGGUCGCUAGAUCUUGUGGAGCCAACGUUGAAAUACCACCCUGGUGUGUUUGAGGUUCUAACCUAGGUCCAUUAUCUGGAUCGGGGACAGUGCAUGGUAGGCAGUUUGACUGGGGCGGUCUCCUCCCAAAGCGUAACGGAGGAGUUCGAAGGUACGCUAGUUACGGUCGGACAUCGUGACGAUAGUGCAAUGGCAUAAGCGUGCUUAACUGCGAGACUGACAAGUCGAGCAGAUGCGAAAGCAGGACAUAGUGAUCCGGUGGUUCUGUAUGGAAAGGCCAUCGCUCAACGGAUAAAAGGUA
This 367-nucleotide ribosomal RNA is filed under the name uncultured organism. RNAcentral describes it as "bacterial LSU rRNA". It matches the Rfam family "Bacterial large subunit ribosomal RNA", at positions 2099 to 2465 of the family's 2925-position model. The record is from RNAcentral.